GCUGUGCAAGCCCCUCUCUUUCCUCUCUCACUCCCUUGCUCUCUUCCACCCUCUCCUUCCUCUCUCUAAUUCAGUAUAUCCUGGCUUGAUAUUGUACAUACCAUUAUUCUGCAAAAUCGAUGACAGCUGGUUCAAGCUCCAAUGCCACUUCUAUGGAUGUUAUAUACUAUAAUAGUAUUUCAAAACCUAUGACUCCUACC
RNAcentral lists this long non-coding RNA (200 nucleotides) under Elaeis guineensis (African oil palm). Its description in RNAcentral is "long non-coding RNA (EGUI_LNC074668)". Lineage: Eukaryota; Viridiplantae; Streptophyta; Magnoliopsida; Arecales; Arecaceae. The record is from RNAcentral.